RNA transcript from Liolophura sinensis, 953 nucleotides. RefSeq lists it as uncharacterized. The record is from RefSeq and is a predicted model, not a curated record. The transcript is spliced from 4 exons. Lineage: Eukaryota; Metazoa; Mollusca; Polyplacophora; Chitonida; Chitonidae.
CUAUACAUGUAUUGAAAAAAGAAUUCAAUUCAGCUGUCUUAAGCAGGUAAUGUACCCCAUUUCGUUUAGUGUAUCAAAUUUGCUCUAUACAGUUUAGCUUUUAUUCUGAUGUACUGAAUUGCAAUGUUGAAUUUAAAUUACUUACUUACUUACUUGUUUAUUUUUCCUUUCAAGUGCCAGACCCAAAACCUGUAGAGCCUGAGCCGGGACCAAUACUUGUGAAUGAUUUCCCUCCUGCUGAUGACCCAUUAGAGGUGCCUGGACCAUCACAUUGUGCCAGUGAUAGUGCAUCCAGUACACCUGGAUAUUUCACAGAAGAAGGUUCGACAGAUGAGCAGACUGGAUUUGCAGAAGACAGGUCAACUGAGAAGCAUAAACGAGAGGAUAUGGAUGUAAAGUACGAGUUGCAAAGUCUGAAGUCAAAAUACAAAAAACUGAACCACCGAGUCAAGAUGCUUGAAAAACAGUUGGAGAAGAAGCUACUAAGGCAGGAAGAAGAUGAUGCCAAGGAUCACUUUGAAAACCUUAUGAAGACAGUUGUGUACUUGAAGGAGGAAAGGGAAGUUCUAAAAAGUUUAACUCUUAAGCUGUUUGAUAAGGAUGAACUUGUCAGUAGUUCCAUAAGUGGUAAAAGAUCUGCUUAAAGUGGGGAUGUAGCCCGUACUCCAUUAGAUUCAACAAAAUUAUGUUUACUAGAGCGCUGCGUACGCCAAAAGUGCCCAGAAGUAACCCAUAAACAAUUUAUUGAGAAACUACAAAAUGUUCAGAAAGUACUUCGGAGAGAAAAAAAAACAGUAAUGCAUGUAAUGUUCAAGAAAUAUUCAGUAAAGGAGUUUUAGAAAGGAAUUCAUUGUUUGUGUUUUUUCUUUUCAUUAAAUUCAUGAAAUAUUGCAACCAUGUUUAAUGAAACUGCUGAUUCGUUAAUGAACUGUUCAGGGAUUUUGUGUCAUGUA